UCUCUCGUAGCUUAGUGGUCAAAGCAUUGGCGCGUAAAGCCAAAGAGCCCGGGUUCGAUUUCCGGCGAGGGCG
Agrilus planipennis (emerald ash borer) is the source of this 73-nucleotide non-coding RNA. Lineage: Eukaryota; Metazoa; Arthropoda; Insecta; Coleoptera; Buprestidae. The record is from Rfam.